UUUAUUUAAGUUUAGUUUGCAAACACAAUGCUAAUUGAUGCUUGUUUUAAUUUUUGGUUUUUGAAAAAGGAGUUAUCAAGACGAGUUUAACCUAACUGACCAAGUGUCAAAGUUUUUGUUACAGAUGGUGUUUCAAAGUUUUCUACAUGUGGUCACUGAAAUAGUGGUCAUAGAAAUGUAGAACAAGAAAUGCAGAAUAAGAGAAAAGUGUGCAGUUUACCUCUGUGGAUUCUCCUUGCAGUGAGGAAUGUAUUCUAAGUUCACUAUGGUUUCCAUGGCUAAGAUCAGGUUUUACCAUGAUUGGACCUGUUACCCUCUAAUGGAAUAUAUCAAAAUAUAAAAAUAUAUUUGAACCUUAAGAAGAGCCAGCAUAAGUGUCAGAGAGGAUAUAUUUAAUCACGUGUGUGGUUUGAGAGAUCAGUGAGAGAUCAAGUUCAUGUUUGUUUCCUGUUAGUUCUGCAACAAGUGCUUUUUGUGGUUAUAAUAUAUUUUUUCUGAGAGAAGGUUUUUGUGGAAAUAACCAUUUCUUGCAUCCAAUUCUCUAAAAUGAUGGUUUAUUAUACCAGCUGCCCUUCGGCCUAAUGUUGUGUAGACUAAAAUCAACAAUGUUUAAAGAAAAAUUCAAAUUGUUCCAAAUAAACUUAGAUAGAAUUAUUGGCUAUUCUUGUUGAAAUAUAUAAGUAAUAAAAAGUUAUGACCUAUUGAUUUAAAGUAGAGAUAAAGUUAUAACACCUAAUUAUUUAUUUUUCGGAAUGAUGUUGAAUCUAGAAUCUAAUACCUGAAACGUCAAGUGAUUACAAUAAAAACAUAAACAAACGUAAUAAGCAUACUUUUAUGUUACUGACGCAUUCCAUAUGAAGAUGGAAAAAAAUGUUGUCGUGUUUUAUUUAACUUGUUAUCGUUAGCUGCGCAAAUGUUAUGAUAUUUUAUGUUGAAGUCAAACAAUAUUAUAUUAAUAUUCUCUGAAUAUUUUCUGAUAAAAUCCUAUACUAACAACAAGUUAGCUAAAACAAAACCAAAAAAACUUUAACUUUUCGGUGGUUAGUUUAUCACAGUUUUGGAGCUUUUCUAAUCAAAAAAUAAACCGAGUUAAUAAAGACCAUUGACGUGAAGAUGAGCGAUUCCCGUACAAUACUUUGGUCUCCUUAAGUAUUGAAUUAUGUGUGUUUUUAUUUCAAAAUUUGACUACAUGUCAUUUGGUUUACAUUUACCGUCAUUGGUACUUUUUUAUCCAGAGUUUAAAUACAACAAACGUAUCGUCAAAGCUAGUUAUUUUACAAGCUAUGGGGCUAGUGUACUUCUACAGACUACGGGGCUAUUGUACGGGUUCGUACGAAUUUCAAAAGUUUUUAUUAUUUUUCAGAUAUGUUUGCUUUAUGAAAAAUGAAAUACUUAUAAAAAGCUAAUAAUACUAUUUUAUAAUGCAAAACAAAUCAUUUGAGUUAUCGAAUUUCACCAAUACAAGUUCUGUCAAUAAAUACCGUGAUGUCUUUUCGUAUGAAGAAAACUUGGUCGUUUGCAUAUGUUACACUGUUGUUACUUUAAUAGGUAUCACAUCAAAUGGUUUGGUUUCUUACCUUAUUAUAUGUAAUCGUAAACUAAGAACUAUCGUCAAUUUGCUAAUUUUAAACCUUGCAAUUUCAGACAUAAUUGCGUGUUUAAGCAUUUAUCCGUUUAUCUACAUUGACUUAGCUGAGACAAGGAUACGAGGUACUGCAGCAAAUCUGCUAUGCGGUUUUACAGAUGGUUUGUUUGGUUUCUUUGUUGCAGCUGCUGUAUCUUUUAUAACUUUAAGUUUGCUUUCUAUUACUAGAUACUUGAUUAUAAACCACCCAUUAAAAGUAUCAUGGAGACUUAAGUUAAAAAAUAUGAAAUGGUUGUUCGGAUUUACUUGGGCAUUAAGUUUGGGACUUGUUAUACCUAACGUUAUAUCAUUUAAAUACAAUGAAAAUUUCAAGCUCUGCAUAAGAAAUUGGGCCCGUGGUGUUAAUCCACUAGUUUACUUUAUUUUUACAAUUAUUUUAGGAUUGUUGUUGCCUUUGUCUUCUCUAUUGUUUACAUACUUCACCAGUUUGUAUACACUGUACAUUAAAAGUCGGUUAAGUAAAAACACACGGAAUAAAAACUCAGCUGCAUCAAAAAGAAGUUUUGAAAUAAAACAAAAAGCCCUCAGAUGGUUAGGUUUCCUUGUGCUAGUUUACUUAAUUUGUUGGAUACCUUUUGUUACAUAUUGGUUUCUUUCCGUCGUCAUUGGUAAUUACUCAGUUAAUAAUUACGAGGAUGUAAGAAAAGGCGUUCGUCUCACAAGAGUAACAUUAUUUUUUGCUGCAUUUAAUCCUGUACUUAAUCCAAUAAUCUAUGCAUAUAAAAGCAGACAGCUACGAGCUGCAUUUAGAUUAUUAUUUGGAUUGCGUGUUCGUGCUGAAUCAACUUCAACAUUAAAAAGUACUUUUGUCGAUCAGUUAGAAACUAUAGAGCAUAACGCUUGAAUUUAACAUGCAUGAAAAAUCUUUUAAACUUUUUUUAGCCGUUUCCUAAUAUCUCGGCAGUUGACAAACUUCUGUAUAUUAAAAUAAAAUUUUAAUAUUGUGUUGGUAAUAA
Molecule: non-coding RNA, 2601 nt
Organism: Hydra vulgaris (swiftwater hydra)
Lineage: Eukaryota; Metazoa; Cnidaria; Hydrozoa; Anthoathecata; Hydridae
Source: RefSeq, a predicted model, not a curated record